RNAcentral lists this transfer RNA (76 nucleotides) under Bdellovibrionales bacterium. RNAcentral describes it as "tRNA-Val". It matches the Rfam family "tRNA". Rfam says of the family: Transfer RNA (tRNA) molecules are approximately 80 nucleotides in length. The record is from RNAcentral. Lineage: Bacteria; Pseudomonadati; Bdellovibrionota; Bdellovibrionia; Bdellovibrionales.
AGGAGGUUAGCUCAGCUGGUAGAGCGCCACCCUUACAAGGUGGAUGUCGUCGGUUCGAUCCCGGCACCUCCUACCA